This 242-nucleotide ribosomal RNA is filed under the name uncultured Actinomycetales bacterium. Its description in RNAcentral is "partial 16S ribosomal RNA". It matches the Rfam family "Bacterial small subunit ribosomal RNA", at positions 88 to 334 of the family's 1533-position model. Lineage: Bacteria; Bacillati; Actinomycetota; Actinomycetes; Actinomycetales. The record is from RNAcentral.
UACUCGAGUGGCGAACGGGUGAGUAACACGUGGGUGAUCUGCCCUGCACUUCGGGAUAAGCUUGGGAAACUGGGUCUAAUACCGGAUAGGAGCCAUCUUUAGUGUGGUGGUUGGAAAGUUUUUUCGGUGUAGGAUGAGCUGCGGCCUAUCAGCUUGUUGGUGGGGUAAUGGCCUACCAAGGCGGCGACGGGUAGCCGGCCUGAGAGGGUGUACGGCCACAUUGGGACUGAGAUACGGCCCAG